UUAACAGAUGGGAUACAGGUCACAUAUGGGCAAAAAACAAUCGGAUUUGGGCCACAUCUGCCUGCAGUUUGAACAUAGCCUAUGAUGAAUGUGUCAUGUCC
Sphaeramia orbicularis (orbiculate cardinalfish) is the source of this 101-nucleotide long non-coding RNA. RefSeq lists it as uncharacterized. The transcript is spliced from 3 exons. NCBI's taxonomy places the organism in Eukaryota, Metazoa, Chordata, Actinopteri, Kurtiformes, Apogonidae. The record is from RefSeq and is a predicted model, not a curated record.